GAAAUGCGAUAAGUAGUGUGAAUUGCAGAAUUCAGUGAAUCAUCGAAUCUUUGAACGCACAUUGCGCCCCUUGGUAUUCCAUGGGGCAUGCCUGUUCGAGCGUCAUUUGUACCCUCAAGCUCUGCUUGGUGUUGGGUGUUUGUCCCGUCUCCGCGCGUGGACUCGCCCCAAAGUGAUUGGCAGCCGGCGUACUGGUCCCGGAGCGCAGCACAUGUCGCGCAAACGAGUGCCUUGGUACGGCGGCGUCCAUAAGCCCCUCUCUCACGCUCUUGACCUCGGAUCAGGUAGGGAUACCCGCCGAACUUAAGC
Molecule: unclassified non-coding RNA, 309 nt
Filed under: plant metagenome
Description: partial contains 5.8S ribosomal RNA, internal transcribed spacer 2, and large subunit ribosomal RNA
Rfam family: 5.8S ribosomal RNA (bases 1-105)
Source: RNAcentral